UACAGAGGUCUCAAGCGUUGUUCGGAUUCAUUGGGCGUAAAGGGUGCGUAGGCGGCGCGGUAAGUCGGGUGUGAAAUCUCGGGGCUUAACUCCGAAACUGCAUUCGAUACUGCCGUGCUUGAGGACUGGAGAGGAGACUGGAAUUUACGGUGUAGCGGUGAAAUGCGUAGAUAUCGUAAGGAGGACCAGUGGCGAAGGCGGGUCUCUGGACAGUUCCUGACGCUGAGGCACGAAGGUCAGGGGAGCAAACGGG
Molecule: ribosomal RNA, 253 nt
Filed under: uncultured bacterium
Lineage: Bacteria
Description: partial 16S ribosomal RNA
Rfam family: Bacterial small subunit ribosomal RNA
Source: RNAcentral